RNA transcript from Notolabrus celidotus (New Zealand spotty), 3355 nucleotides. It is a transcript of the gene named sulfotransferase family 4A, member 1, with no coding region annotated. Lineage: Eukaryota; Metazoa; Chordata; Actinopteri; Labriformes; Labridae. The record is from RefSeq and is a predicted model, not a curated record. The transcript has 8 exons.
GUAGGUCAAGUCAGCAUCCACCGCGAGCCUCAGCAUCCUGAAAGCGAGAGGCAGUAGCGUCUCAAACCAUCAUACCCACCAUCCUCUUCCUCUUCAUCGUCUGUGAUUUUAAUCAAACCCCGACAGCACCCUGUUCGCGUGGCUGUGCGCGUUUUCGUGUCCCUGCUCUGGCGGCUCGUUUCGAGGAUGGCGGAGAGCGAGGCAGACACGCCGAGCACGCCGAUUGAGUUUGAGAGCAAAUACUUCGAGUUUGAUGGAGUGCGGCUGCCGCCCUUCUGCAGAGGGAAGAUGGAGGAGAUCGCCAACUUCUCCCUCAGAAGUAGCGACAUUUGGAUUGUCACCUACCCGAAGUCAGGCACGAGUCUACUACAGGAGGUCGUGUAUCUCGUGAGUCAGGGUGCAGACCCCGACGAGAUCGGCCUCAUGAACAUUGAUGAACAGCUGCCCGUCUUAGAGUACCCUCAGCCAGGCCUGGACAUCAUACAGGAGCUGACCUCCCCUCGUCUGAUCAAAAGCCAUCUUCCUUACCGAUUCCUCCCCUCAGCCAUGCACAACGGAGAGGCCAAGGUGAUCUACAUGGCUCGUAACCCGAAGGACCUGGUGGUCUCCUACUACCAGUUCCACCGCUCUCUCAGGACCAUGAGCUACCGUGGGACCUUCCAGGAGUUCUGCCGUCGCUUCAUGAAUGAUAAGCUGGGAUAUGGAUCCUGGUUUGAACAUGUUCAGGAAUUUUGGGAACAUCGUAUGGACUCUAACGUCCUCUUCUUGAAAUAUGAGGACAUGUACAAGGAUCCGGGGAAUCUGGUGGAGCAGCUAGCCCGGUUCCUGGGUGUCUCUUGCGAUAAGUCCCAGCUGGAGAGUAUGGUGGAGAGCUGCAACCAGCUCAUCGAACAGUGCGGGAACUCAGAGGCGCUGUCCGUCUGCAGGGUGCAUGGGAGUCUGAUGUCUGCUCUGCUUUAGGCUAAACACACAGCUGCCUGUCAGUCUGAUGUGACUCAGAUCUCAGAUCAGUCUCUGUCUGACGCUCAGCUCAGCAGGUCGUGUAGGUCUGUGGAAAGACGUCUUCACAGUCUCCAUGAACGACAAGUUUGACACGGUGUACAGACAGAAGAUGGGGAAGUCCGACCUGACCUUUGACUUCUUCCUGUGAGGAGCUCUGCCCCCCCUCGUCCCACCGUCACCACCUCCUGACUUGCCACAUAUCUCCUCCAGUACAGUCGACUUACCGCACACUUCCUGCCACAGACUCACAAACCGACACCUCCAUGCAGUCUGAAGUUUAACCCUUUCACUGACUCACAGGUCAUUAGAGUCCUCUGUGGAAGUCCAAAUGAAUCCAGAUUUAUCAGAAACCAAACGUCCCUCAACCCCCCUACCUCUACAGAGAAUCAGGGGAAGUGAAGCCAAACCUGUAGAGAGAAGUUUAGCGCUUAAAUCAGCACCUUUAGAGACUUCCUUUUCUGUUCGAGGAGCUUUUUGUUUUUACUCAAAGUGCUGCAGGCUUCUUAGCAUCAUCGCUAUCAUCACCGGACAUUUGUGUGCGAGCUUCGUGCGUGUGUGUGUGUGAGCUUUAUGUGUAUGUGUGGAUGUUUGUGAGUGUGUUUCAGAUACAGGGAGAGAGAGAGAGGGGUAUCGAGAGACUGUGUCAGGGUUAACUGAGUGAUUUAAGGAUCUGCCAAUCAAAAUAUAUCCAUCAGUAGAGGUAGGAUUUAAGAGUGAGAAAAACAAUGGCGCCACGACCUCCUGAUUUUAGAAAUGCCAUUGAUAUAUCAAAGUCAAACUUUGACAUUUUAGCUGCUAUCUUGAGUAAAAACAUGAAGGUUAUGUUUGCAGCUCAUGCAUUUGCUGUGUUGUUGUAUUUACAGUGCAGGUAUUUACUGCCCUCUAGUGGCUCAAACGAGCAACUACUGCUUGACUACAGGUGCAGUGUGGCCAAAAACAGAACACUUUGAAAGACUUUAAAUCCACAAUACCUUUUUGAAUCAAACUCAAGACAAGAGACCUUUAUGGGUUUUAGUUUCCUUAGAUUUCAAGAUUAAAAAACAACAUUUAUAUCAGAUUUUAUUAUCAGAAAGUGUCAUGAACAGCUAUAUGAGAGGUAAACUAACCUAUAUUUAAAACAUGAACGUGAGAAUCAAAGUUAGAAAGAGAUUAAAACUCAAAGAGGACAGAGGCAGCUCAAUUAUUUUGACGAUUAAAAUGGAAGUUUUAACAUCCUGAGCCGACAGUGUAUGAGAAAACUUGUAGUUUCACCUCUAAUGACCCUUUAGAUGUACUUUGUCUGUGUCGCUUCGUUUGAGAACUUUAACUGCACAUUAAUUAAAAAACAAAAUCAUAAAUGAGGCGCACUAAGGUUUGAAGUUUUCAUUCGGGUAUCUUAUCUUCCUCUUAAAUUCAAAGUCCUCUUCGUCUCUUACUCAUCAAGCAGAGUUCAGAUAUCAAAUAAAGAAUAAAAUAUUGCAGCAGCAGGCUUCUUUGACUUCGGUUUAAACGUAUAAAACAAUAAAACUAGUGGCGCUAAAUGUGACCGCUCAGCAGGGUGCAUCUGAUAUUUAAAAUGUGGGAUUAAUCAGGAAACAGAUUUUCUUGAAGUCCUCAGAAAGUCUUUGUGGAACAAACCAUGAACACAACAUUUUUAAGGUUGAUGUAGUGGUAACUUUAAAUCACAUCCCUCCCUUCUUCCUGCUCCCUCUGACUCUAAAUGGGAGCAUAAUCUACUAAAUGAACAUCACGCUGUGUUAAAGAAGACUUGAAACUACAGAUUGAGACCUCAAUCUCAUGAGGUAAAAGUUUACCAAGGGAACAAACCAAUGGAGAAGUAACUCAUUUACUCAUCUGCUCUACUCCUUUACGGAGGCAGUAGUCUCCCCCUGCUGGCCACGAGAGAGAAUGCAGGUUGAAGACACUUCUGCACCAUCUUCAAUAUGAAACCUACGUUCUUUUCUCAAACAGGCUGUGGUUGGAUGAUGGCUGAUUGGAGUUCACGAUCAGCCGCUCACUGCACCGCAGCAGAGUCUGCUCUCAGACAUCACGUACAAACAGUCCUCCUCCUCUUCCUCUUCCUCUGUAGUCCUGCAGACUGGUCCGUGCGCUCUUCAGACACUCGUGAAUGUCUUUAUUGUGUGGAUGUAAACGACAACACUCGUCACAGCAGCGCCUCUUUCUUUCUCUCCAUUGUUCUCUCUCUCUUCUGCGUCACUCUGUUUACAGCCGUUGGUAAGGCUUCCCAGUCCGUCUCCUCUUUAUGGUUUGUUUGGGUUUUAUACAUGCCUGCCUCUGUUUCCUGGGCGUCCUGUUCUGAUUUUUCAUGCUUUGCUUGCUGGUUUAUUAAUAAAGUUGUGUCUUCAGGCAAUAA